Rhincodon typus (whale shark) is the source of this 1729-nucleotide long non-coding RNA. RefSeq lists it as uncharacterized. The transcript is spliced from 3 exons. The record is from RefSeq and is a predicted model, not a curated record. NCBI's taxonomy places the organism in Eukaryota, Metazoa, Chordata, Chondrichthyes, Orectolobiformes, Rhincodontidae.
UGCUGGACUUCAUCUUGGACCAGGAUCGCAAACGGUGCCAGGAACAACCUCAGCCUCCAGACCAGCCAUCAAUCGAGGGGUCCCCAAAAGGCAGAAGGAAAGACUGAUUUGGUGAUCAAGCCACUACCUGAGGCAUCAGGACCAUACGUGGAGAGGUAAGUAAAACCUCAUAGAUCAUUUGAUAAGAUCAUGUGGGAGUCAAGAACGUGUGACAUGGUCUUGGGAUACCGGUGUAAAUGUGAAAAAGUGAGUACUACCUCAGAGGUAACAAACCUGAGACAGUAAAAAUCAUGCACUGAAGAACAGGUCUCAGACAUGUACACUUAUUUCAUGAAAGGAUUAGUGCGGCUUGGAAGGGCACAAAAACAUAGUUUAAACGAUAUGAAACUGACGAAAAAUCCAUGGAGAAACUGACUUUAAAACAAUGAAAGUAGUAUUAGUGAAAGGGAUGUAAGAAGAAUUAUGGUUAUUUUGGUUAUUUUGUCAAAUGUUACAGAAAUGAAAGAAUAUGGAUUCUGGGAGGAGUAAUAAUAGACUGACAGAGGAGAAAUAGUAGAUGGCAUACUGAUACCCCAUCUUGAGCGUUUGUAUGGCUAAAACAGUAGGUGAAAUUGUAAUGUAUUAGAACAAUUAGUGUAUGUGAAAAACGGCUGAGCUAAGACUCAGGUGGUGUAGGAGUCUCUGGUAAUCCCUGGGAAAAAUAAAAGGUGGAAGGCAUAAGUCGAAGGGAAAGCCUGAUGAACGGUACAGCUGCAUUGUUUGAUCCCAUGGAAAUUGUUAGUGAAAGGCUGUACCUGCUUGUGGAGGUAGUUACCACUCAAUAAUACAAUCACUCAUAAAAUCAGAAAAAAGGGAAACAAUUGAAGAAGUAUUGUCAAUCGAUACAGAUGAAGAGAGCUGGAGAAAUUUCAAGUCCAUAUGUGAUGUUAUUUUACUGCUAUCGGGUGAAGUGAUCUGUGGAGAGGGAACUGGAGGAUAAAAAAGACACAAAGUAAGGAAUCUGAAUCUGGAAUAUACUGCAUUUUACAGCAAAUUAUGUAAAGAGAUUAACUGAAAAGAUGUAAAAUUGACUAACAGCCAGCCAGUCUGGCACACUCUUUAUUUUUCCCCUCUCCCUCUCACAGCUUUUGGGUCUCUCAGCAAGAAUGGGAUCCUCGAUUCUGGGAGGGGAGCUGGAAUAAAUUGAGUAUAUGUAAGUGAUGUGAUUGCAUGGUGAUUGUAAUUAAGGAUAUUACUGUAAUUAGUGUAAGCAUGAAAACACUAAUCCUCUGUGGGCUCCUCUCAAUUUUGAACCCAUUGGAGGCAGACAGGCACCUGGUAUGACUUGCUGGUUCCAUCAUGGCCUUGACCCUACAUCAGGGUGGGAUAUAUAUUUAAGGGUUGGUGCCCAAAGGCCACUGAGAUUGUUAAUUUGAUGGUACACCCCAUUGUUGUAUUGUUUGUAUUGAUGAUAGUUAUUUUCAUUGUAGUUUUAAUCAUCUAGUACAGGUUACAUACUCUUAUUCUACGUUCUUGCAUGGCCGUCACUGAUUUGCAUCUGCAUCUGCAAUUGUAACAUGUACUGUCAAAUAUCAGAGGGCUGGCUCUCUUCCACAAAGUGCCUGGCUAUUUGUUACACUGUAUAAGAGAGAAAGUUUCAAUCCAAGUGCUGGACUUCACUUCGGAUUGAGAUCACGAAUGGUACCAGGGACAACCUCAGCCUGUAGACCAGCAUUGAUCGAGGGGUCUC